AAAAUUUUAAAAUAUUAGCCGGGUGUGGUGGCAUGUAGCCAUAGUCCCAGCUCCUUUAGAGGCUGAGGUAGCAGGAUCGCUUGAGCCCAGGACAUGGAUCAUGGCUGCAGUGAGCUGUGAUCAUGCCACUGCACUCCAGCCUGGAAUAAAACCCUGUCUCAAAAAAAAAAAAAAAAAAAAACAACAAAAAUACAACAACUUAGACUGGGUAAUUUAUAAACAGUAGAAUUGUAUUGCUCACAGUUCUGGAGGCUGGGAUAUCCAAGAUCAAGGCUCCAGCAGAGUCACAGUCUGCUAAGGGCUUGUUCUCUGCUUCAAACAUGGUGCCUUCUCAGAGCAUCCACACAUGGCAGAAGGAUCAAACAGGCUCCCUCAAGCCUCUUUCACAAGGGCACCAAUUUCCCCCACAAAGGAUCCAUCCUGUUAAUAUGAAUGUGUUGGGUCUUAGGUUUCAACAUAUGAAUUUUGGGGAGAUACCAGCAUCCAAACCAUAGCAGCCCCCAAAUAUGCUGGGCCCUCAAAACCCUCCAAAAUCCCUUCACUUAUCUCUAUUCUAUGACUGGGCCUACUCUCCACAGGGACCAUUCACUGCUCCUCACAUGGCCCACUCAACAACUUUUCUCGCUCUCUGUAGGCAACACUGUCUCCUCCUUAAAUUGAAAAUCAAGGCCACCUAAGACACUACCCAGGCCUGCUCUUCAUUCAUUCAUUCAUUUAAUAAAUAUUUACCAGAGCUAACAUGGGCCUGCACGGUACAGAUGUGAGACAUACAAGAAUGAGAGCCAAGCGGCCAUGGUCUCUGCCUUCAUGGAUCUCAGUCUACUGUUAAGUUACACAUUAAGCAAAAAUUACACAAAUUAUUGCACACCCUGAAAGGGGCUAGGAAGAAGAAUCCCUGGUGCUGCAAUUUUUGUGUUUUUUUUGUUUUUGUUUUUGAGACGAAGUAUCACUCUGUGGCUCAGGCUGCAGUACAGUGAGGCGAUCUCAGUUCGCUGCAACUGCCACCUCCCAAGGUCAAG
This 1019-nucleotide long non-coding RNA is filed under the name Homo sapiens (human). RNAcentral describes it as "non-protein coding lnc-FAIM-2:1". The record is from RNAcentral. Lineage: Eukaryota; Metazoa; Chordata; Mammalia; Primates; Hominidae.